CGCACAUUGCGCCCUUUUUGGGCAUGCCUGUUCGAGCGUCAUUUAAACCCUCAAGCUCAGCUUGGUGUUGGGUGCUUGUCCGCCAUGGUGGACUCACCUCAAAUGCAUUGGCGGCCUUCAUGUUGGCUUCGAGCGCAGUAGAAACGCGCCCGGUGUCCUGACGUGAUGGCCCUCCAUGAGCCCCUCAUUUCAUCUUGACCUCGAAUCAGGUAGGGAUACCCGCUGAACUUAA
Molecule: unclassified non-coding RNA, 232 nt
Filed under: Biatriospora sp.
Lineage: Eukaryota; Fungi; Ascomycota; Dothideomycetes; Pleosporales; Biatriosporaceae
Description: partial contains 5.8S ribosomal RNA, internal transcribed spacer 2, and large subunit ribosomal RNA
Source: RNAcentral